This 481-nucleotide ribosomal RNA is filed under the name uncultured bacterium. RNAcentral's name for it is "partial 16S ribosomal RNA". It matches the Rfam family "Bacterial small subunit ribosomal RNA", at positions 28 to 507 of the family's 1533-position model. The record is from RNAcentral.
GACGAACGCUGGCGGCGUGCUUAACACAUGCAAGUCGAACGGGAUCCGGGCUUUCGGGUUUGGUGAGAGUGGCGAACGGGUGAGUAACACGUGAGUAACCUGCCCCCUUCUUUGGGAUAACGUCGGGAAAUCGGCGCUAAUACUGGAUAUUCUUGCUGCAUCGCAUGGUGUGGUUUGGAAAGGGUUUCUGGUGGGGGAUGGGCUCGCGGCCUAUCAGCUUGUUGGUGGGGUGAUGGCCUACCAAGGCUUUGACGGGUAGCCGGCCUGAGAGGGUGUCCGGCCACACUGGGACUGAGACACGGCCCAGACUCCUACGGGAGGCAGCAGUGGGGAAUAUGGCACAAUGGGCGCAAGCCUGAUGCAGCGACGCCGCGUGAGGGAUGACGGCCUUCGGGUUGUAAACCUCUUUCAGUAUGGAACAAGGAUCCUUCUUUUGGGGGGUUUGAGGGUACGUGCAGAAGAAGCGCCGGCUAACUACGUG